This 258-nucleotide ribosomal RNA is filed under the name uncultured bacterium. RNAcentral's name for it is "partial small subunit ribosomal RNA". It matches the Rfam family "Bacterial small subunit ribosomal RNA", at positions 26 to 285 of the family's 1533-position model. The record is from RNAcentral.
AGAAUCAACGCUGGCGGCGUGCCUAACACAUGCAAGUCGAACGAGAAAGUGGAGCAAUCCAUGAGUAAAGUGGCGACCGGGUGAGUAACACGUGACUAACCUACCUUCGAGUGGGGGAUAACCUCGGGAAACCGGGGCUAAUACCGCAUAACAUCUUUGGAGUGGAAAUUUCGGAGAUCAAAGGGGCAAUUCGCUUGAAGAGGGGGUCGCGGCUGAUUAGCUAGUUGGCGGGUAACGCCCACAAGGCUUAGAUCGGUA